RNAcentral lists this ribosomal RNA (475 nucleotides) under uncultured bacterium. RNAcentral describes it as "SSU rRNA". It matches the Rfam family "Bacterial small subunit ribosomal RNA", at positions 26 to 518 of the family's 1533-position model. The record is from RNAcentral.
AGAUUGAACGCUGGCGGCGUGCCUAACACAUGCAAGUCGAGCGGUAAGGCCCUUCGGGGUACACGAGCGGCGAACGGGUGAGUAACACGUGGGUAAUCUGCCCUGUACUUUGGGAUAAGCCCGGGAAACUGGGUCUAAUACCGGAUAUGACCUUGUCACGCAUGUGGUGGGGUGGAAAGUUCCGGCGGUACGGGAUGGGCCCGCGGCCUAUCAGCUUGUUGGUGGGGUAAUGGCCUACCAAGGCGACGACGGGUAGCCGGCCUGAGAGGGCGACCGGCCACACUGGGACUGAGACACGGCCCAGACUCCUACGGGAGGCAGCAGUGGGGAAUCUUGCACAAUGGGCGAAAGCCUGAUGCAGCGACGCCGCGUGAGGGAUGACGGCCUUCGGGUUGUAAACCUCUUUCAGUAGGGACGAAGCGUAAGUGACGGUACCUGCAGAAGAAGCACCGGCUAACUACGCGCCAGCAGCCGC